This is a non-coding RNA of Nicotiana tabacum (common tobacco), 311 nucleotides long. NCBI's taxonomy places the organism in Eukaryota, Viridiplantae, Streptophyta, Magnoliopsida, Solanales, Solanaceae. The record is from RefSeq and is a predicted model, not a curated record.
AGGCUUCAUGCGAUGCUGCGACAGAUGACUACAUUCAGGAUCCAGACACGAUUAUGCCUUCUACUGGACCUGACAGCACCACCGAUACAUGUCAUUCUGUGCCGCAUCCGGCCAUAAGGAGACGACUUGAUGAUGAUGAUCCUGAUAGCGUACCCGGGCGGCAGGGGAUGCGCCUCAGGCCAACGGCUACUUUGAGACACACCGGAUGCGGGACACAUUGAUUCGGUCUUCCAUAUUUUUGUUUUUUUGGUGUAAAUAAUAUUUUUGUGUACAUUAACAACAAUAUUUAGUCGAAUAUGACAGUUACUUUU